This 427-nucleotide ribosomal RNA is filed under the name uncultured bacterium. RNAcentral describes it as "partial 16S ribosomal RNA". It matches the Rfam family "Bacterial small subunit ribosomal RNA", at positions 355 to 774 of the family's 1533-position model. The record is from RNAcentral.
UGGGGAAUAUUGGACAAUGGGCGAAAGCCUGAUCCAGCCAUGCCGCGUGUGUGAAGAAGGUCUUCGGAUUGUAAAGCACUUUAAGUUGGGAGGAAGGGCAUUAACCUAAUACGUUAGUGUUUUGACGUUACCGACAGAAUAAGCACCGGCUAACUCUGUGCCAGCAGCCGCGGUAAUACAGAGGGUGCAAGCGUUAAUCGGAAUUACUGGGCGUAAAGCGCGCGUAGGUGGUUUGUUAAGUUGGAUGUGAAAUCCCCGGGCUCAACCUGGGAACUGCAUUCAAAACUGACUGACUAGAGUAUGGUAGAGGGUGGUGGAAUUUCCUGUGUAGCGGUGAAAUGCGUAGAUAUAGGAAGGAACACCAGUGGCGAAGGCGACCACCUGGACGAAUACUGACACUGAGGUGCGAAAGCGUGGGGAGCAAACA